AAAAAUUGUCUCUUCGAAACGUGUGCACUUGAAAAUAUUUUUCUUUGCGCUGCUUGAUUAGAAAGAGGAUGUGAACAGUGUAAGGAUAUAUUGGAGUGAAUAUUGCUUUGGAGAGUACAUGCGAUGCGAAGACUUGUCAGUUUUGAAAGGGUAUUUAUUUUUUCAUUUGACGUUAUCCUCUUCAGUGGGUUGGGGGUGGUAAAAAUGAAUAAAAGAGAAAGUGUAAGAAAUGUCAUGGUAUUAAAAAAUGAUAGGUCUUGCAUUGUUGUAAGGACUCGUUAGUUUAA
This is a long non-coding RNA of Episyrphus balteatus (marmalade hoverfly), 287 nucleotides long. RefSeq lists it as uncharacterized. NCBI's taxonomy places the organism in Eukaryota, Metazoa, Arthropoda, Insecta, Diptera, Syrphidae. The transcript has 2 exons. The record is from RefSeq and is a predicted model, not a curated record.